Molecule: transfer RNA, 72 nt
Filed under: Dipodomys ordii (Ord's kangaroo rat)
Lineage: Eukaryota; Metazoa; Chordata; Mammalia; Rodentia; Heteromyidae
Rfam family: tRNA
About the family: Transfer RNA (tRNA) molecules are approximately 80 nucleotides in length. Their secondary structure includes four short double-helical elements and three loops (D, anti-codon, and T loops). Further hydrogen bonds mediate the characteristic L-shaped molecular structure. tRNAs have two regions of fundamental functional importance: the anti-codon, which is responsible for specific mRNA codon recognition, and the 3' end, to which the tRNAs corresponding amino acid is attached (by aminoacyl-tRNA synthetases). tRNAs cope with the degeneracy of the genetic code in two manners: having more than one tRNA (with a specific anti-codon) for a particular amino acid; and 'wobble' base-pairing, i.e. permitting non-standard base-pairing at the 3rd anti-codon position.
Source: Rfam by way of RNAcentral
GGGAAGGUGGCUCAGUGGUAGAGCGCUUGUCUUGCAUGCAUGAGGCCCUGGGUUCGAUUCCUCAGCACCCCA